Molecule: long non-coding RNA, 243 nt
Filed under: Ananas comosus (pineapple)
Lineage: Eukaryota; Viridiplantae; Streptophyta; Magnoliopsida; Poales; Bromeliaceae
Description: long non-coding RNA (ACOM_LNC033416)
Source: RNAcentral
AGAGCCAAACACCAGGCUCACUAGAUGAUCAAAGAAGACUAACACCUCUCAUACAAGAGAAAAGAAAUAUCGACCCAAUCCAGAUAUUCUCCAAAAAGGGGUAGAGUAUCUUAUCCUAACUUUCAACACUACGUUGUCUGCAGCCAACGUAAUUAUCAAAAGAAAGGUAAGGUACCCACUGAUCCGAUGCCAACAACAAGUUGGAGACGAGACACAAGAACCAAUCGACCAAUAACCCUAUAA